Molecule: long non-coding RNA, 253 nt
Filed under: Junco hyemalis (dark-eyed junco)
Lineage: Eukaryota; Metazoa; Chordata; Aves; Passeriformes; Passerellidae
Description: lncRNA (ENSJHYG00000013749.1)
Source: RNAcentral
GGAGGACACCUCCAUGUGUGCCACUGUCCUUGGAUGAGGGAGGAUGGCAGGAGAAGAGGGCCAAGGCAUCCCUGGAGAAGUCCUGCAAGCUGCCAGCUUGCCAUUUGUACCAUCCUGUUUGCUGUAAGGUUUUUAAAUCAACUGUUGUGCUUCAGAGCUCUGGGAAGAGAAUGGAUUCAGUCGAGUUGGCUCACCAGUGAGUUCUGAACCAGACAGAAAACAGCCAGAGGCUGUGGGGGCUCUCCAGUCUCAG